UAGUAGCUAUUAGAAUGAUUAAUUAAUUUUGUUUAGAUCAUUCUGCUGAUAAUACUUUUCAUGUUUAUGGCAAGCUUCCAUAUGAGUUGUCUUCAAGUAUUACAAAACCUAUGUUUGACCAAAUAUAUUGAUUAGCCCUCAUUUCUUAUGAUAUAAAAGGGUACCAAAAUAAGGUCAUUUUGUAAACAAAGACAGGCAGUAACCAACCUGACCAACUUCUCUUCCACUUUCUGUAUAAUUUUAUCUCAAAAGAAAAGAACCCAUCUCAAGAGGAAACCGAACAAUAGUUUUCCAUUUCCAUGGCUUCUUCGUUAUCUUCUUCAUGUUACACAGCUCUGAUAAAGCCAUCUCUCAAGCUCAGUGUUACUCGUCGUCAGCUUUGCAAGUUCGAGCACAGAGAUUUAGAGAN
RNAcentral lists this long non-coding RNA (409 nucleotides) under Ricinus communis (castor bean). Its description in RNAcentral is "long non-coding RNA (RCOM_LNC002273)". The record is from RNAcentral. Lineage: Eukaryota; Viridiplantae; Streptophyta; Magnoliopsida; Malpighiales; Euphorbiaceae.